UAACCUUGCCUGUGAGGGUAAGCUGAACGUACAGAAGUCAGCAGAGGCCAUAGUACGCAGGCUGUUGCAACGGUCUGCGGAAGGGC
RNAcentral lists this non-coding RNA (86 nucleotides) under Paenibacillaceae bacterium GAS479. The record is from RNAcentral. Lineage: Bacteria; Bacillati; Bacillota; Bacilli; Caryophanales; Paenibacillaceae.